CGCCUCCUUGGCUGUUGUUGUCAUCUCCUCAAAUAAGUCGUAUCAGGUUAGUUCCAUUGCACUGCAAAUACUACCACUUCUAUUGGGCAAGCAAAUACAACUUGAAAGUAUAAGUCGUAUCAGGUUAGUUCCAUUGUACGCCAGUGUCGUCUGGCACGCGAAGUCAAUUUCUUGCAUCACCCAUUGUUGUUCAUCUGCUACUCUAACCAGUAACCAUCCCUUGCUCCCAAUAAUUUUGAGCUCGCAAAGAUGACAUUGGUUGCUUGAUUAGCAUUAUUUCUUUCAAGGACAAAACUAAUUGUCGAUUCUUUUUGGAUACAGCAGAAGGAUUUUGGAUGCAGACCAAUGUGGUUUCUUCAUAGUACUAGGGAGCCGACAAUAAAAAACAUGAGAAUUCAUCACCUAUCUUAGCCACCGCAACCUGAACAAGAUUUGCCAACAUCUAGCUUAAUCCUUCUGAAUGGUUGGUAGUAGAUCUGUCCUACAAGCAGAAAUCAUCUACUUUGUGUUUGAAUUUUCUAAAUUACAGUAAAACAUGUGCAUACUUCAGUUUGCACAAAGAGCAAACCUAGACAAUCUGCUGUAGGGUCUGAGCUACUGAAUAUACAUGUAGUAAAAAAUACUUUUCCUUUGGUCCUCUUUCAUGUUCAAGUUCCUAACGAAGCUGCCAUACAGCGCAUUUAGGCUGUGGUCAACAAGUCGGCGGACAAGUUGCAAAUUCAAUCAACAAUGAAGGAACAUAGAAAACUGAACCCACUGUUCAUGAUCUUUAAGGAAGAAAACACACAAGAUUCGUUAUUCAAUCUUAUCAAUGACCAUGUGUAAUCUUAGGCUAUUUUGUUAUCAAUAGCUAAAAGUUGUUCACAAGCCUUGGUGUGUUUUGAUGUUUCUUGCAUGUGGAGCUGCAGGUAGAGCUGAGGAUUAAGGAUUAAGUAUAAACGCAAUGGAGCCCGUUGUAUAACAACGCAGAGCCGAAGGAGAUGCUACUUUAUUGUUGCCUUAUCUUUGUCGAUGCAGUCGAAUAUGGGUCUAUUCUGGUGCCCUGUCUUCAUCGUAGCGUGUGUAUGUAACAUGGGGGCGGCCGUGAGAAUAGAUCGUCUAG
RNAcentral lists this long non-coding RNA (1102 nucleotides) under Triticum aestivum (bread wheat). RNAcentral's name for it is "long non-coding RNA (TAES_LNC000856)". The record is from RNAcentral. Lineage: Eukaryota; Viridiplantae; Streptophyta; Magnoliopsida; Poales; Poaceae.